This 8676-nucleotide long non-coding RNA is filed under the name Citrus x clementina. RNAcentral describes it as "Citrus clementina (C. clementina) long non-coding RNA (CCLE_LNC005015)". Lineage: Eukaryota; Viridiplantae; Streptophyta; Magnoliopsida; Sapindales; Rutaceae. The record is from RNAcentral.
GGCACCCGGAAGCCGCCCGCAAAGUCUGGGGCCAUUCCGAGUCCGGCGGACGAACUUCGCCCACGCCCCCCACCAAGGCUAUAGCCCACCCGUUUUUUGGCCAUUUUACCGCUGGGGGUCUUGGCACCCCGAUCUUCGGGGGCUGAUUUUUGGGCGCGGCUGUGCCCGUGGCCUAUUUUUGGCACACGGAGACCGCCCGCAAAGUCUGUGGACAUUCCGAGUCCGGUGGACGAACUUCGCCCGCUGCCCCCACCAAGGCAAUAGCCCACCCGUUUUUUGGCCAAUGUUCCGCUGGGGGGUCUUGGCACCCCGACCUUCGGGGGCUGGUUUUUCGGCGCGGCUGUUCCCGUGGCCUAGUUUUGGCACACGGAGGCCGGCCACACAGUCUGGGGCCAUUCCGAAUCCGGCGGACGAACUUCGCCCGCUGCCCCCACCAAGGCUAUAGCCCACCCGUUUUUUGGCCAUUUUACCGCUGGGGGUCUUGGCACCCCGAUCUUCGGGGGCAGAUUUUUGGGCGCGGCUGUGCCCGUGGCCUAUUUUUGGCACACGGAGACCGCCCGCAAACUCUGGGGAUAUUCCGAGUCCGGCGGACGAACUUCGCCCACGCCCCCCACCAAGGCUGUAGCCCACACGUUUUUUGGGCAUUUUUCGGCUGGGGGGUGUUGGCGCCCCGACUUUCGGGUGCUCAUUUUUGGGCGCGGCUGUGCCCGUGGCCUAUUUUUGGCACACGGAGGCCGCCCGCAAAGUCUGGGGCCAUUCCGAGUCCGGCGGACGAACUUCGCCCACGCCCCCCACCAAGGCUAUAGCACACCCGUAUCUUGGCCAUUUUUCCGGUGGGAGGUGUUGGCGCCCCGACCUUCGGGCGCUCAUUUUUGGGCGCGGCUGUGCCCGUGGCCUAUUUUUGGCACACGGAGGUCGCCUGCAAAGUCUGGGGCCAUUCCGAGUCCGGCGGACGAACUUCGCCCACGCCCCCCGCCAAGGCUAUAGCCCACCCGUUUUUUGGCCAUUUUCCGCUGGGGGGUGUUGGCGCCCCGACCUUCCGGCACUCAUUUUUGAACGCGGCUGUGCCCGUGGCCUAUUUUUGGCACACGGAGGCCGCCCGCAAAGUCUGGGGCCAUUCCUAGUCCGGCGGACGAACUUCUCCCCUGCCCCCACCAAGGCUAUAGCACACCCGUUUCUUGGCCAUUUUUCCGCUGGGGGGUGUUGGCGCCCCGACCUUCGGGCGCUCAUUUUUGGGACCUGCUGUGCCCGUGGCCUAUUUUUGGCACACGGAGGCCGCCCGCAAAGUCUGGGGCCAUUCCGAGUCCGGCUGACGAACUUCGCCCACGCCCCCCACCAAGGCAAUAUCCCACCCGUUUUUUGGCCAUUGUUCCGCUGGGGGGUCUUGCCUCCCCGACCUUCGGGGGCUGAUUCUUGGGCGCGGCUGUGCCCGUGGCCUAUUUUUGGCACACGGAGGCCGACCGCAAAGUCUGGGGCCAUUCCGAGUCCGGCGAACGAACUUCGCCCGCGCCCCCCACCAAGGCAAUAGCCCACCCAUUUUUUGGCCAUUUUUCCGCUUGGGGGUCUUGGCACCUCGACCUUCGGGGGCUGAUUUUUGGGGGCGGCUGUGCCCGUGGCCUAUUUUUGGCACACGGAGGCCGCCCGCAAAGUCUGGGGCCAUUCCGAGUCCGGCGGAUGAACUUCGCCCACGCCCCCCACCAAGGCUCUAGCCCACCCGUUUUUUGGCCAUAUAGCCUUGCUGGGGGGUCUUGGCACCCCGACCUUCGGGGGCUGAUUUUUCGGCGCGGCUGUGCCCGUGGCCUAUUUUUGGCACACGGAGGCUGGCCGCAAAGUCUGGGCCCAUUCCGAGUCCGGCGGACGAACUUCGCCGACGCGCCCCACCAAGGCUAUAGCCCACCCGUUUUUUGGCCAUUUUUCCGCUGGGGGGUCUUGGCACUCCGAUCUUCGGGGGCUGAUUUUUGGGCGCGGCUGUGCCCGUGGCUUAUUUUUGGCACACGGAGACCGCCUGCAAAGUCUGGGGCCAUUCCGAGUCUGGCGGACGAACUUCGCCCGCGCCCCCCACCAAGGCAAUAGCCCACCCGUUUUUUGGCCAUUGUUCCGCUGGGGGGUCUUGGCACCCCGACCUUCGGGGGCUGAUUUUUGGGCGCGGUUGUGCCCGUGGCCUAUUUUUGGCACACGAAGGCCGCCCGCAAAGUCUGGGGCCAUUUCGAGUCCGGCGAACGAACUUCUCCCACGGCCCCCGCCAAGGCAAUAGNNNNNNNNNNNNNNNNNNNNNNNNNNNNNNNNNNNNNNNNNNNNNNNNNNNNNNNNNNNNNNNNNNNNNNNNNNNNNNNNNNNNNNNNNNNNNNNNNNNNGCCAUUUUUCCGCCGGGGGGUCUUGGCACCCCGACCGUCGGGGACUGAUUUUUGGACGCGGCUGUGCCCGUGGCCUAUUUUGGGCACACGGAGGCCACCCGCAAAGUCUGGGGCCAUUUCGAGUCCGGCGGACGAACUUCGCCCACGCCCCCCACCAAGGCUAUAGCCCACCCGUUUUUUGGCCAUAUAGCCUUGCUGGGGGGUCUUGGCACCCCGACCUUCGGGGGUUGAUUUUUAGUGGUGGCUAUGCCCGUGGCCUAUUUUUGGCGCACGGCGGCCGCCCGCAAAGUCUGGGGCCAUUCCGAGUCCGGCGGACGAACUUCGCCCACGCCCCCCACCAAUGCUAUAGCCCACCCGUUUUUUCGCCAUAUAGCCUUGCUGGGGGGGUCUUGGCACCCCGACCUUUGGGGGCUGAUUUUUCGGCGCGGCUGUGCCCGUGGCCUAUUUUUGGCACACGGAGGCCGGCCGCAAAGUCUGGGCCCAUUCCGAGUCCGGCGGACGCACUUCGCCGACGCCCCCCACCAAGGCUAUAGCCCACCCGUUUUUUGGCCAUUUUUCCGCUGGGGGGUGUUGGCGCCCCGACCUUCGGGCGCUCAUUUUUGGGCACGGCUGUGCCCGUGGCCUAUUUUUGGCACACGGAGGCCGCCCGCAAAGUCUGGGGCCAUUCCAAGUCCGGCGGACGAACUUCGCCCACGCCCCCCACCAAGGCUAUAGCACACCCGUUUCUUGGCCAUUUUUCCGCUGGGGGGUGUUGGCGCCCCGACCUUCGGGCGCUCAUUUUUGGGCGCGGCUGUGCCCGUGGCCUAUUUUUGGAACACGGAGGCUGCCCGCAAAGUCUGGGGCCAUUUCGAGUCCAGCGGACGAACUUCGCCCACGCCCCCCGCCAAGGCUAUAGCCCACCGGUUUUUUGGCCAUUUUUCCGCUGGGGGGUGUUGGCGUCCCGACCUUCGGGCGCUCAUUUUUGGGCGCGGCUGUGCCCAUGGCCUAUUUUUGGGACACGGAGGCCGGCCGCAAAGUCUGGGGCCAUUCCGACUCCGGCGGACGAACUUCGCCCACGCCGCCCACCAAGGCUAUAGCACAUCCGUUUCUUGGCCAUUUUUCCGCAGGGGGGUGUUGGCGCCCCGACCAUCGGGCUCUCAUUUUUGGGCGCGGCUGUGCCCGUGGCCUAUUUUUGGCACACGGAGGCCGCCCGCAAAGUCUGGGGCCAUUCCGAGUCCGGCGGACGAACUUCGCCCACGCCCCCCGCCAAGGCUAUAGCCCACCGGUUUUUUGGCCAUUUUUCCGCUGGGGGUUGUUGGCGCCCCGACAUUCGGGCUCUCAUUUUUGGGCGCGGCUGUGCCCGUGUCCUAUUUUUGGCACACGGAGGCCGCCCGCAAAGUCUGGGGCCAUUCCGAGUCCGGCGGACGAACUUCGCCCACACCCCCCGCCAAGGUUAUAGCCCACCGGUUUUUUGGCCAUUUUUCCGCUGGGGGUUGUUGUUACCCCGACCUUCGGGCGCUCAUUUUUGGGCGCGGCUGUGCCCGUGGCCUAUUUUUAGCACACGGAGGCCGCCCGCAAAGUUUGGGGCCAUUCCGAGUCCGGCGGACGAACUUCGCCCACGCCUCCCGCCAAGGCUAUAGCCCACCGGUUUUUUGGCCAUUUUUCUGCUGGGGGGUGUUGGCGCCCCGACCUUCGGGCGCUCAUUUUUGGGCGCGGCUGUGCCCGUGGCCUAUUUUUAGCACACGGAGGCCGCCCGCAAAGUUUGGNNNNNNNNNNNNNNNNNNNNNNNNNNNNNNNNNNNNNNNNNNNNNNNNNNNNNNNNNNNNNNNNNNNNNNNNNNNNNNNNNNNNNNNNNNNNNNNNNNNNGGUGUUGGCGCCCCGACCUUCGGGCUCUCAUUUUUGGGCACGGCUGUGCCCGUGGUUUAUUUUUGGAACACGGAGGCCACCCGCAAAGUCUGGGGCCAUUCCGAGUCCGGCGGACGAACUUCGCCCACGCCCCCCACCAAGACUAUAGCACACCCGUUUCUUGGCUAUUUUUCUGCUGGGGGGUGUUGGCGCCCCGACCUUCGGGCGCUCAUUUUUGCGCGCGGCUGUGCCCGUGGCCUAUUUUUGGCACACGGAGGUCGCCUGCAAAGCCUGGGGCCAUUCCGAGUCCGGCGGACGAACUUCGCCCACGCCCCCCGCCAAGGCUAUAGCCCACCGGUUUUUUGGCCAUUUUUCCGCUGGGGGGUGUUGGCGCCCCGACCUUCGGGCACUCAGUUUUGAACGCGGCUGUUCCCGUGGCCUAUUUUUGGCACACGGAGGCCGCCCGCAAAGUCUGGGGCCAUUCCGAGUCCGGCGGACGAACUUCGCCCCCGCCCCCCACCAAGGCUAUAGCACACCCGUUUCUUGGCCAUUUUUCCGCUGGGGGGUGUUGGCGCCCCGACCUUCGGGCGCUCAUUUUUGGGCGCGGCUGUGCCCGUGGCCUAUUUUUGGAACACGGAGGCCGCCCGCAAAGUCUGGGGCCAUUCCGAGUCCGGCGGACGAACUUCGCCCACGCCCCCCACCAAGGCUCUAGCCCACCCGUUUCUUGGCCAUUUUUCCGCUGGGGGGUGUUGGCCCCCGACCUUCCGACGCUCAGUUUUGGGUGCGGCUGUGCCCGUGGCCUAUUUUUGGUACACGGAGGCCGCCCGCAAAGUGUGGGGCCAUUCCGAGUCCGGCGGACGAACUUCGCCCACGCCCCCCGCCAAGGCUAUAGCCCACCCGUCUUUUGGCCAUUUUUCCGCUGCGGGGUGUUGGCGCCCCCGACCUUCGGGCGCUCAUUUUUGGGCGCGGCUGUGCCCGUGGCCUAUUUUUGGCAAACGGAGGCCGCCCGCAAACUCUGGGGCCAUUCGGAGUCCGGCGGACGAUCUUCGCCCACGCCCCCCACCAAGGCUAUAGCACACCCGUUUCUUGGCCAUUUUUCCGCUGGGGGGUGUUGGCGCCCCGACCUUCGGGCGCUCAUUUUUGCGCGCGGCUGUGCCCGUGGCCUAUUUUUGGCACACGGAGGUCGCCUGCAAAGCCUGGGGCCAUUCCGAGGCCGGUGGACGAACUUCACCCAUGCCCCCCACCAUGGCUAUUGCCAACCCGUUUUUUGGCCAUUUUUCCGCUGGGGGGUGUUGGCGCCCCGACCUUCGGGCGCUCAUUUUUGGGCGCGGCUGUGCCCGUGGCCUAUUUUUGGCACACGGAGGCCGCCCGCAAAGUCUGGGGCCAUUCCGAGUCCGGCGGACGAACUUCGCCCACGCCCCCCACCAAGGCGAUAGCCCACAAGUUUUUUGGCCAUUUUUCCGCUGGGGGGUGUUGGCGCCCCGACCUUCGGGCGCUCAUUUUUGGGCGCGGCUGUGCCCGUGGCCUAUUUUUGGCACACGGAGGCCGCCCGCAAAGUCUGGGGCCAUUCCGAGUGCGGCGGACGAACUUCGCCCACGCCCCCCACCAAGGCUCUAGCCCACCCGUUUUUUGGCCAUUUUUCCGCUGGGGGGUGUUGGCCCCCGACCUUCGGACGCUCAGUUUUGGGCGCGGCUGUGCCCGUGGCCUAUUUUUGGCACACGGAGGCCGCCCGCAAAGUCUGGGGCCAUUCCGAAUCUGGCGGACGAACUUCGCCCACGCCCCCCGCCAAGGCUAUAGCCCACCCGUUUUUUGGCCAUUUUUCCGCUGGGGGGUGGUGGCGCCCCGACCUUCGGGCGCUCAUUUUUGGGCGCGGCAUUGCCCGUGGCUUAUUUUUGGCAGCGGCUGUGCCCGUGGCCUAUUUUUGGCACACGGAGGCCGCCUGCAAAGUCUGGGGCCAUUCCGAGUCCGGCGGACGAACUUCGCCCAUGCCCCCCACCAAGGCUAUAGCCCACCCGUUUUUUGGCCAUUUUUCCGCAGGGGGGUGUUGGCGCCCCGACCUUCGGGCGCUCAUUUUUGGGCGCGGCAGUGCCCGUGGCUUAUUUUUGCCACACGGAGGCCGCCUGCAAAGUCUGGGGCCAUACCAAGUGCGGCGGACGAACUUCGCCCACGCCCCCCGCCAAGGCUAUAGCACACCCGUUUCUUGGCCAUUUUUCCGCUGGGGGGUGUUGGCGCCCCGACCUUCGGGCGCUCAUUUUUGGGCGCGGCUGUGCCCGUGGCCUAUUUUUGGCACACGGAGGCCGCCCGCAAAGUCUGGGGCCAUUCCGAGUCCGGCGGACGAACUUCGCCCACGCCCCCCACCAAGGCUAUAGCCCACCCGUUUUUUGGCCAUUUUUCCGCUGGGGGGUGUUGGCGCCCCGACCUUCGGGUCUCAUUUUUGCAGGCGGCUGUGCCCGUGGCCUAUUUUUGGCACACGGAGGCUGCUCGCAAAGUCUGGGGCAGUUCCGAGUCCGGCGGACGAACUUCGCCCACGCCCCCCACCAAGGCUAUAGCACACCCGUUUCUUGGCCAUUUUUCCGCUGGGGGGUGUUGGCGCCCCGACCUUCGGGCGCUCAUUUUUGGGCGCAGCUGUGCCCGUGGCCUAUUUUUGGCACACGUAGGCCGCCCGCAAAGUCUGGGGACAUUCCGAGUCUGGCGGACGAACUUCGCCCACGCCCCCCGCCAACGCUAUAGCCCACCCGUUUUUUGGCCAUUUUUCCGCUGGGGGGUGUUGGAACCCGACCUUCGGGAGCUCAUUUUUGGGCGCGGCUGUGCCCGUGGUCUAUUUUUGGCACACGGAGGCCGCCCGCAAAGUGUGGGGCCAUUCUGAGUCCGGCGGACGAACUUCGCCCACGCCCCCCACCCUGGCUAUAGCCCACCCGUUUUUCGGCCAUUUUUCCGAUGGGGGGUGUUGGCGCCCCGACCUUCGGGAGCUCAUUUUUGGGCGCGGCUGUGCCCGUGGUCUAUUUUUGGCACAGGGAGGCCGCCCGCAAAGUCUGGGGCCAUUCCGAGUCCGGCGGACGAACUUCGCCCACGCCCCCCACCAAGGCUAUAGCCCACCCGUUUUUUGGCCAUUUUUCCGCUGGGGGGUGUUGGCGCCCCGACCUUCGGGCGCUCAUUUUUGGGCGCGGCAGUGCCCGUGGCUUAUUUUUGCCACACGGAGGCCGCCUGCAAAGUCUGGGGCCAUUCCGAGUCCGGCGGACGAACUUCGCCCACGCCCCCCGCCAAGGCUAUAGCACACCCGUUUCUUGGCCAUUUUUCCGCCGGGGGGUGUUGGCGCCCCGACCUUCGGGCGCUCAUUUUUGGGCGCGGCUGUGCCCGUGGCCUAUUUUUGGCACACGGAGGCCGCCCGCAAAGUCUGGGGCCAUUCCGAGUCCGGCGGACGAACUUCGCCCACGCCCCCCGCCAAGGCUAUAGCCCACCGGUUUUUUGGCCAUUUUUCCGCUGGGGGGUGUUGGCGCCCCGACCUUCGGGCGCUCAUUUUUGGGCGCGGCUGUGCCCGUGGCCUAUUUUUGGCACACGGAGGCCGCCCGCAAAGUUUGGGGCCAUUCCGAGUCCGGCGGACGAACUUCGCCCACCCCCCCCGCCAAGGCUAUAGCCCACCCGUUUUUUGCCCAAUUUUCCGCUGGGGGGUGUUGGCGCCCCGACCUUCGGGUGCUAAUUUUUGGACGCGGCUGUGCCCGUGGUUUAUUUUUGGCACACGGAGGCCGCCCGCAAAGUCUGGGCCCAUUCCGAGUCCGGCGGACGAACAUCGCCCACGCCCCCCACCAAGGAUAUAGCACACCCGUUUCUUGGCCAUUUUUCCGCUGGGGGGUGUUGGCGCCCCGACCUUCGGGCGCUCAUUUUUGGGCGCGGCUGUGCCCGUGGCCUAUUUUUGGCACACGGAGGCCGCCCGCAAAGUCUGAUGCCAUUCCGAGGCCGGUGGACGAACUUCACCCACGCCCCCCACCAUGGCUAUAGCCCACCCGUUUUUUGGCCAUUUUUCCGCUGGCGGGUCUUGGGACCACGACCUUCGGGGGCUAUUUUUUGGGCGCGGCUGUGCACGUGGCCUAUUUUUGGCACACAGAGGCAGCCCGCCAAGUCUGGUACCAUUCCGAGUCCCGCGGACGAACUUCGCCCACGCCCCCCACCAAGGCUAUAGCCCACCCGUUUUUUGGCCAUUUUUCCGCUGGGGGGUCUUGGGACCCCGACCUUCGGGGGCUGGUUUUUGGGCGCGGCUGUGACCGUGGCCUAUUUUUGGCACACGGAGGCCUCCCGCCAAGUCUGGUGCCAUUCCGAGUCCCGCGGACGAACUUCGCCCAAGCCCCCCACCAAGGCUAUAGCCCACCCGUUUUUUGGCCAUUUUUCCGCUGGGGGGUCUUGGGACCCCGACCUUCGGGGCCUGUUUUUUAGGCGCGGCUGUGCCCGUGGCCUAUUUUUGGCACACGGAGGCCUACCGCCAAGUCUGGUGCCAUUCCAUGUC